CAGCUCUACUACAACCUCACCCAGCUUCCCAAGAAUCAGCCCAAAGCCAGGGUCCAGAGAGGAUGGCAGCACCUCCAUGGCACUGCUCUACCACAGGACUCUGUCCAGUCACUGUGUAUCCAGCAGCUGCACCAAACCCUAGAGAAAACCUCAAUAUUCUGCCUGGAACCCAACUAGUAACUGGCAGCCUGAAAUCAUAGUUAAAUGGUAAUCAGACCACAAGAAACUACAUUCAGACAGAAGGCCCAGAAAUCCUGGACUAUGAACUGGACAUAUUUAUUUGGUAGGACUUGGGAUGGACUCCUCUGGGAAAAUAUAUGUAUGUGUAAGGGGUGGUUGGUGGAAACUAUGAUAGAGGCACUUAAUUUUUUUACAAUAAUUUCACUUUCUUUCACCAUUAAAAGGAUUUGUACAUUUCAGCUGGGACGUCUUCCCUCAGCUAAAGAUUACAUUUUCUUUUUUGUUGUUGAUGUACAUAUUUAAGGUUUACAAAUUGAUGAUUUGAUAUUCAUAUACAUUCUGAAAUAAUCACCACAGUCAAGCUAGUUAGCAAAUCUGCC
This 560-nucleotide long non-coding RNA is filed under the name Zalophus californianus (California sea lion). RNAcentral's name for it is "lncRNA (ENSZCAG00015001042.1)". The record is from RNAcentral. Lineage: Eukaryota; Metazoa; Chordata; Mammalia; Carnivora; Otariidae.